RNAcentral lists this long non-coding RNA (13545 nucleotides) under Jatropha curcas. RNAcentral describes it as "long non-coding RNA (JCUR_LNC001191)". The record is from RNAcentral. Lineage: Eukaryota; Viridiplantae; Streptophyta; Magnoliopsida; Malpighiales; Euphorbiaceae.
GACCACAGGUUAUGCCUUGCCAUUGACAGAAAUGGAUUGUAUGAUUCCAUGAGCUUAAAACCUGAAAUGGGUCUCGAGUUAUUUUGGCUUUGAAUUGAAGUAAGGCUUCGAGGUCAGUCUCAUUGCUGGUAGAAGCAAAGGUAGUAGAGGUAAAGAAAAAGAGAAGAACAUAGAUGCAAAGAGAUGAGAAAGGAUGUAAUAGGUUGUUGUUCAUGGAGAAAUUGAAGUAAGAACUAUGAAAUAAAAGAUUGAAGAUCAUAUGAGAAGAUAAUGGAUGGAAUUGAGGAAUAUUUAUUUGGUGUAUGAAGAGAAAUGCGAUAGGUACAGAGAAAACAAUAGUUCAAAAGUUUGAAUUUUCAUCCAAUUUCACACUUAAUUUAUUUGCCAGAGGUGAGCGGCUUGGUACAGACAGGAUUUUUUAAUUUUCAACUUUUGGUGCUGUCUUUAGACCCUCCUUAUGGGUGGGUGGAGGAUGCAUAGUAGUAUCAGUUUGACACGGGGUUGACUGAUUUAGUAGCCCGUGAAUGCAUAUAAGAAUCACUGUUUAUGAGAAAGACAAGAUAUUGAAAAAUAUUAAAAUUUCAAAUGUUUAUCCAUAAAUUUUUGCAUAAAUUUGAGUUUGUAGUUCACGUGCACAGAAUAAAUCUAAAUUACAACCUAAUUUAGACUUCGAUUAAUUAUUUUCUUUUCUCCUAAAUACUCGAAUUAAACAUUCUUAAAUAGAUAUAAUAAUAGUUAUUUUUCCCUUUAAAAAAAUAGUUAUUUUUUUUUUUAAAAGAGCUUUGUAUAUUUAAGGUUUAAUAAAUUUUUCAAAAACAUAUAAAAAGGAAAAAUGAAAAAGCAGCUUUUGAAAAGAAAUUUCAAACCCAAAAACUAUUUGGAAGAAAAGCAAAAAAGUUCCCUUGUGCUUUUAUUUGUGUUUCCACUAACACGACUGUGAAAGUAUUUUUCAACAAUCGUAGGUGCUCCACUUAAGCAGAUAAUGGACAAUCUUUAUAGCAAUUAAUUAUUGAUCAUAAAGAAAGACUUAAAGAGAAGACUGAAUUUCCUAUACUGUGACUAAUGAAAUUGUUCAGGUAAAUUAUUAGAUAAUUUUUGUUUUUUUGAAAAUGAUUAUUAGAUGAAAUUUUAUUACAACUAUAAUUGACAGUAAAGAGCCACAUGAAAAUUAAAAAUGUCAUAUACCUAUUUCAUUCAAUAAUAGUUUGAUUUGAAUUUAAUUUACUCCUUGAAUAUUAGGCCUAUAAUCCUAAAACUCUUUCCUUAAUUUCAUUUUUACUAGUUAUCAUGAUCUUUUCAUUCCUUCUCUCUUUCUUCUAAUAAUAUAUUGCAAUAUGAAGCCCUUUUCGUAACCCAAAUACAUAUACAUAUGAAGCAUAACUAGAACAAGCUUUUACCCUUCUAACUGCCGAGACAAUUCAAUCUAGACAUAAUUGACAAAUGGCCUUUUCUAUAUCCUACUUAUAUAUUUCUUGUGCAUCUGCUACCUUUUUUCAGGUUCCUUGUUGAGAAUGAUAUAAAGCGAGAACGGAUUCUCAUUUCACUAUCGUUAAUGGCUAUUGCAUGUGGAUUAUUUUCAUUGCUACUCCUGAUUUUGGCUCUCUCUGCAAAAACCAUUGAAGCCUACACUUUCCGACCUAAACGAUCAGUCACUAAAUUAUCUCUUUAUUUGGUACUCUUUUUUCAUCGUUUGGUCUUUCAUUCAAUCCUUUCAGCUCUUUCUUUUUAUUUUUAUUUUACUGCUUUAUUAUCUCUCUCUCUUUCACUCUCAGGUAUCAGAUAUGCUUCAUUUUACUUUGACCUUUCUUACGUGUGAGCAAGAAAAUCCAUUGUCUUUACAGGAAAUCUGUCAGCUUUCUUUGCUUUUCAAAACUUGGUAAAUACAAGACAUUUGUGGGAUUCAGUACAAUUUUUUUCCCUAGUGAUUUUCAUUUUAAUUCUCAAUUUUCAAAAUUUUCCUCGCAUUAUUUGAAAAUUUAAAUUUUAUAAAAAAAUUGUUCAUAAAUAUAUUUUCAAAUUUAAUUUUAAUUUUAAUUUUUUUUGGAAAAUAAAUUUAAAAUUUAUUUGAAUAUAUAAUUUAAUUAGUUUUUACUAGUAAUUUAUUAGUUUUAAUAAUUUAUAUCUUUAUUAAGUUAAAAAAAUUACAUUAAAUAGAAUAAUUCAUAGUAAAAUAGAUCUAAUACAAUUUGUUUGAACUUUUGUUAUUGCUUUUCAAAAUUCCAUUAAUAUGGUAUGCUGCGAUACCAAAGAACAUUAUAGUUUUGGAUUUUUCACAGAAUUUAAUUAUUAUUUUCUCUUCCAUUUAGAAUUUCAAAUAUUUUAAUUUUUGAUUUUCAGGUCAAUAUAUUAUUUUUAAACUGAAUAGACAUAAUUACUGAUGUUAUAUAUAAUAUAUUCAAUAAUUUUAUAUAUAAUAUUUAUUGCAUAAAUAAUAUAAUUAGAUACUUUAAACACAUUUUGACACUAAUUUAUUAUGUAUAGUUAUGUACAGGAGUUCAUUUAUUAAUGGCUUAUAUAUUAAUAUACUACUACUCUUUCAUGUUAUUGAUUAGCCAACCGAGCGAACCGAAUAUGGAUUUCCGCCACCGAGUCGGUUAAAACUUCGGCUGCAAUUAAUAUAUUCUUAUAAUUUACGAUUGAUAUUACAUAUCAUAUCCUCUGAUUAAAACAAUAUUGAUAUUAUAUAAGAAAUUUGCAUUUAAAUUUUUGAGAAAUUAAUUGAGUUAAUUAUGAUAUUUUUAAUUAAUAAUUUCCUCGGUUUUUGACUACCUAUAUUAGUCGGUGAAUUCGAUAUUAAACACUUUAAUUUAUAAAAUUUCAACUAUUAAACACUUCAACUUGCAAAUCAUUUAAUCAAAUGCUUCAACUUGUAAAAUUAAAUUAAUAAAACAUUGAUUGAACAGUGCAGGGAUAUAUUUAUAUACUUGCCUAUAACAAUAGCCAAAAUGAGAACAAUACAAAAUAAUGCACCAGAUAUUUCUUUUUAGUACUUUUUGAUUUCUAUUUUAUACAUAAAUACCGUAUGAUACAUAAAAGUCUAAGGUGGCUAGCAGAUAAAGCUUGAGUGCUAUAUUUUGCAGAUUCCGAGUUUUAUCUGUGUAUUUACAAAAAAAGUCUAGUUUUACUUACAGGUCAACACUUUGCAAAUCUUGGCCGUCUGUGAAGGCUGAUCACUGAAGACUGCAAGAGAACUUCCCUUCUUUUGUUUUCCAUUAAGCAGUUGAAUUAUGUCAGCAACAGUAAAAUCAUAUCACACCAUCUGAAAUUGUUGUUCUUCACCUAAUAUUUUCAGGAAGUAUUAAAAUCUUAAUGCACUCCAAGCAUUCAAGGAGAAAAGAUGAUCCAUUGCAACAAUUAAAUCAUGAGCAUUUAGAAUUACCAGUAGUCGAUGCCAAAAGACUAAAUUCACGCUCCAAGCUCCAUUUAGAUUCAUUCAGAUUGUUAAUGUUUACAAUAUACUCCUGGAAGUAACCAUUAAAGGUUAUUACUGAUAUAGUGGCUCUGGAAAGUCCAAGGAUAGGAAGAUGAUAAGUUGAUAGAAAGACAUUGAGAAGAAAGUUCUAAUGACAUGCAAUUAUCCACAGAAAAUAAUACACAUGUUCUUAUGCAUCAACAUUAAGCUUAUUUCUUAUUAAGGAACAAAAUUCCAUCAAUAGGUUUGGACUAAUCUACAAUUGAUUGCUACAGGAUAGAAAUUAUGAGAGCCAGAAUUCACUUCACUAAUCAAGAGAUAUGCAGAACUAAAAUUUAAGGAAGACUGUAAAAAUAAAUAAAAAAUAUUUUGGCCAUUGGGAAUAAGAUUUUCAAAAAUAAAUAAAAUAUUAUAUAAUUGUAGAAGAUAUUCUCUGAGUAAACUUAUUUACCCCAAACUUUACAAUUUGUUGCAAUUGCAUCUCUUUUUUUUUUUUCACCUAUCGAAACCCCACUUGAUAGGUUGCUGCAAUUGUGCCCUCUGGCCAAAAUUGAACAAAAAAAGAAUACUAUUUUAUUAUUUGCAAAAAAAAAUAAUAAAAAAAAAAAAAUUCCCUAAUUUCCCUCUCUUCCCACCAAACCUAGAAAUGUCAUGGAGAACAACCAUUGCCAAUGUCACUUCCUCUUCCACACUCAACCUCAGCCAAACCCAAAAAAUCAGAAUUGUCAAACAACACUAUUUACCCUUUGAAGCUGACUAAGUAUUCAAAGAAAUGUUAUUGAGAAGAACAAUUAUCAAACACAUUUACUUUCUCUCUAAGUUCUCUCCUAAUCCUUUUCUCUUUCUCCUCAUAAUCAACUUAUUAAGAUGGCAAGACCUGCACUCUCUUCUAAAACAAGAUCCAAUCGAAAUCUGUACCUCUCUUUGGUCAAAUCUUCUCUUCACCUCCACAUGUCACUUUCCUCUCAAAACUCAGGCCUUUAGGCCCUCCCAUACCAACAAUCCUGUAAUCACGUGACUGGAAAUUUCCCCUCCUCGAAGUGCUCUCAUCCCCAUCCACAAUGUUACCUUUCAUAGUCGCUUCAAAUGGAACCAGACUCCUUAAAUCAUUUGUAGCUCAAAUGACAAGCUGUUCAACAAACUCAUCACCAACAAGAAGCAAGUCAUGAAAACACCAAAUACUGAUUUUACAGCAGCUGCCAACUGGUUCGUGGUGGUAGAGGCAUUUUGACUAUGGGAGCUUCACAGGUGGUGAAAGAGAUCUAAGAGUGAAACUUUGGUGGCUUUAGCAUUCAGGGAAGAGAUUCGAGUUUGUGAGAGGGGAGAGAGUUUGGAAAAAAGAAAUUAAUUUUCUUUUGUGCAAAUAAUAAGAUAUUAUUAUUUCUCGUUCAAUUUUGAACAUAGAAUACAAUAGCAACAAACUUACCGAAUUGGGGCAUAAAAGUUAAAAAGAAAAAUAGAGUACAAAUGCAACAAGUAGCAUCGUUUUGGGUAAAUAAGUUUAUCAAGCCAAUUUUUUAGUUGAUCAUGGCACAAUAAUUAAACAUAAUAAAAUUUCAGUAUAAAUUAUAGGAAAAUAUAAAAGAUUUGUUUUUGAUACAUGGUAUACUGCCACAUGUAACACAGAAAACUCACCUAAAAGCAACAAGUUUAGUUGAUGAUGUGUCAGCAACCUUGUCCACCUUGCGCACUACCAGGUAACUGUAUGACACAGCCUGAUUAGUGAUAGUAUAUCAGUGCAUUUAAAAGCAACAAGAAAUGUAGGCGUAUGCAACUAAGAGCUGCAGACUAAAGCAUGUCUACACCUUCAAGAUACAUGUACGAACUUGUACUUGCCCACCUAGAAAAAAACUAGAUCCAUCACUACAGAGGUAAACUAGUAGCAUGCUUAGAAUGCCUCUGGAAGGAGACUUCCCCAAUCUUCCUGAAAAUUUACUCUACUAGAAGAUCUCUUAUUCAGCCGAAAGCCAGCUCUAACUAUGCCACAUCUGAAACAACUAAAUUAUUAAUUGCUAGUUUCGGAUUUGAAACAGAUAUAUUGUCCAGCAAUUACUAGUUAAAUUAUUUAUUCUGAACAAAAUUAAAAUUUACAAAAAAAAAAAAAAAAAAAAAAAAAGAAGGAAGACAAGCUGGCUGCUGGCUCUUAUCCGUACUUAGAAUAAAUUGGUUAAACUAAUAACAUCAUGCAGAGUUUAUAAAAUUAGGCACGUUAAGGUUUUAAUAACCAUAGAUAUUUAAGGAACAUUAUAUAUAAAAUUUAUUGGUUUUCUGGUUAAAACUGCCUUUGUUAGACGUCUGUGAUAAAUUUGCUGAAGUUAACUCAAAGUCAGAGAUUUGAGAUAAUCUCAUGUUCUUUUAACCAUUCCCACUUUUCAAGACAAUCACCUACAGAAAAAAACAGAUCAAUUUUGAUGCUGAUUUUUCUCUUUAGUUAUUUUUUCUUUAUAUCACUUCUUGGUUGAUGUAUUUUGGCAUUCUAUGUUAUAUUCUAAACAAUAGCAGCAUGAUGUUAUAUAAGUGCAUCACGGAAUAUUCUAAUUAUCUAAAUUUAAUUUGGCUCCUCCAUAAUUCGAUGGCUAGCGUCAACCUUGUAAACUCCUAAUCACUUCCUGAGUAAAUUGUUAGUUGGAAACAUCUUCACCUCUUUACUCCAGUUGGAACAGCAUUGUGAAGCACGUGAUGAUGAGCUGGAUCCAGUACAUCAUUUACAGACUCAGGUAAUAUCGACCCAAGGAAACUACUUGAUCUUCUAUUUCUGUGAAGAAUAAGAAAUUAGACAAGAAAGGUCAGAUGGUUUAAAAAUUCUUCAAAAGAUCAACAAUCGAGCCAAAAAUUUAGUGUUAAUUCUUGGCAGAAUACUUCCACCUAAUCUAUAAAAUUUUGCAUUUCAUACCUCAGAUUUAUGGCAAACCCCAGUUAGAAGACAUGAAUAGAACCUGAAGUACUUGCUGCUACAAGAAUUUAUGGAAGCUGAAGUGAAGGACCAAACGACAAGGAAAAUAUUGUUGAUGGGUAUGUCCCUCUCCGGAAACUAUAAGACUGCCCAGGAAAUAUAGAAUCCAGUGAGUAUAGUAAGAUAUGAGUUACGAUCCGCAAGACCAAAAUACAUCUAGAAUCUGCUACAUAAUGAAUCAAGAGAGCAAAACGACUGAAGGAAAAGAAGACCAUGAAUCAUAAAGCUUAAGUCACAACAUGGAACUGCAAAAUGCUUGGCCUGGCUAUUAGAUUGGUAUACUCUGUAAUAAAGACAUAAAAUAGCAACAACAAUAGCAUGGUUCUUUCAUUCUCUCUCCAGAAAUGAAAAUUAUUUUCGUAGUUAUUUUUCAGUUCACAUGUUCAGUGUGCAUAUAUGACCCAAGACCAAACAGAGUUUUAAUUUCAAUCUAAUAAUUCUUAUUCCAAUAUAGUUCUCUCUCAAUUCAUGGCCAUUUUAUAUGGUAUAUCAAGACCACUAAACAGUUACCAGGCAAUUCAUCUUGGGAACCUCAAAAUAUUGAAGCCUCCAAGAACAGAAAGUCUAUUACAUUGUCUAUGAACCACAUACUAUGAUCGCACUCACAUACCCAGGCUGCCACUGUGAACAAGCAAAUACAGUACCUUAGUAGCAUCAAGAACUAGAUGAACUCUGAUUAUUGUUCCCUGUUCCGAUGCUGUAGCAAUGUACAUCCCAUUGGAAGAAAGGGCAAUUGCUGCCAGUGGUGCACGAUGAGCAUCUAUCUGCAAGUAUAUUCAAUAAAUACAUAAACAAUAAACCAAAGGUUGCAAAAAAAAAGAAAAGAAAAGGAAACGUAAACAAAUAAUUUGUUCAAGUCUCAAUGGUUGCAGGAGCUAGCAAAAAUUAAUCUCAAACAAAAGGAAACUUUAAAGGAAAUAUGUAACAAGAAAAUCAUUAGCAACAAGGAUCCUGCAUUUGCUAGGCUGCAAGAUUCCUUGUACCUCAUUAGUACGUUAUAUCAUGAUUCCCUAUUUUGUAAUUGAUGAAUUCAUCAUACAGAAUAGUUUGUCAGAUUUUAACAUCCUACUGAGAGCUUGAACUCUUUAUAACUUUCCAGUGUUAAAUAAGCGAGAGAGAGAGAGAGAGGGGGGGACCCUCCAGGAAUGAGAUUCAUGAUCAGAAAAACAGAAUCAGGUGAGUUCUAACUCCAUAUCAGAUAUUAUGCAUAUUAAUCAUUUCCAAUUUUUUUGCCACCUCACAAUGUGACUGGAGUUCCAUGACAUUGUACACCAGAACUGAUCCUUUAGUUGUACUUGCAGGAAGAGCCAAGAAGCAACCGUCCAAACUAGGGGAGAUUGCACAAAGUCCUGAGGAAAAAAUGGAAAUUUUCAGGGAACUUAAAUUCUAAGAACCGUAUGGUUCUGUAUGUCAACCAGGGAAAAAAAAGAAAAAAGGAAAGAAAGAAUGAAGAAGUAAUUCUAAAAUUCUGUAGAAUUAACAAUUAACAGUUGCCCUUACUUUUGGGACAAAAUAAAUUCAGCAGUAAUGGAGAAAGGGAAAAUAUUUAUACCAAACAAAAUUUAGAGAUCAGAACUUUACUAAGAUCUCCAGUUGAAAUGAAUGAAGGGUCUUCCAUCUAGAGUAACAAGUUCAGAUUAAGAUCCUUAGAAAGGGUAUUCUUGAAUCCAAAGUUUGGAUUUUUUUUUUUUUUUUUUUUUUGGUUUUUUUUAGGGGGGGGGGGGGGGUGGGGAUUGGGAGUGUUGAGUUUUAAGCUUCUUUAAAAAUGGUGUCAAAAUUUUUAAAAUUUUUCUACUUUCAUUAAAUCAUGGUUUGAAAAGGGUAAACAAUCUAGCCCUUGCCAAACCAUGGUUCAUUAAGCUGUAAAAACUACAAAAGUAGCCAAAAUCCAAUAUCAAACGGACACUUACAAGGUUAUCAUUCACAAACAGAUAAAACUCAUUGUUCCACAGGAAAAGCGAAGAACAAUAUUUUAAUGUCAAUCAGCCACUCCGAAAAUAUAAACUCCAAAGUGGCAAUGUGUCAUAAGAAGAUGUUUCAAGUAAAUUCUAUUUCAAAUAUAAAACCAAGAUAUUCAAAACUCACCUUCUAUGUUUGGAACUGUAUCAAUAGUGUCAAUAUUGCAAGACUAUUUAAGUCAUAAAUAUAUGUCUUUUCUUGCAAAACAACAAGAAGCCUGCAACGAUUAAGAGGCAGUAAAUCAAAAACCAUAGGAAAUUAUACUAAAAUAGUAAUACAUAUAUAGGGCAAAAAGCCAACUUGUACCAACAAUUCAAUAUAGUUUAUCUGAACUUUCAUCUGUUUUAACAAUCUAUAAAAUCAAAACCACUCUACACCCAUGUACCGACAAUAAUAUCAACACUGCACCAUACGAUAGAUUUUAUUUAUAAAUAUAUAUAGAGGGAGAGAGUGCAAAAUAGGGGCAACAAACAAUAAAUCAGUAGCUGAAAAAAAUCCAAGAUAGAUGUAUUACCUUUUUCUAUUUAAUCGAACAGCAAGGAUCGAAGUUAAGAAAUUCAGUUCUCGAAGGGCAGUUCCGGUAGUAGUAUUGAACAAACAGAGACGCCGUGGGGAUAAAGAAGGCUGAUUUCAGUUAAAUUCAAUAUAUCUACCAUUGAUGAGUAACAAUACUUGAAAGCAAAAAAGAACACACGCACAAAAAACAUUACCUGUUCACCAGCUCCAAUAAUAGCAAGAAGACUAGAACUGUAAAGCAUUUCAACAAUAAUAAAAGCUCCAACAGCUACAAACACCGAAGUAAACGCAAUUUGAAAAAUUACUGUACAGAAAAACUAAAUAGAAAACCUAAAUUAAAUAAGGAAAGUAGAAAUUGAUAGCUUACCUCGUUCAUAACAGAGACGGCCUGUGUUAGGAUCGAAUAUUUUGAAGCCAUCCUUAGUGCUUAUUGCAAAGCCACUGAAUAAACACAAUAAUAUUAAAUAAACAAAGAAAAGAAUAGAUUUAAAAAUCUGGAAAUUUAGGCAUACUGCUGUACCUAUUAUCUUGAUUGAAAGAGGCGCAGAGAAUGGAAGAGUUAGAGGACUGGCUAGUCAUUGUUGGAAUUGUUGGUGGGAUUGUUGGGGAAGAAGAUAAAAAUUUAACUUACUUAAAUACUUUUAGGUCCGGCUUGAACUAGAAGAGAACAGAAAACGGAAUGUAUCGAAAUGGACAGCGUUAUGGGGGAUGAUGGUUAGCCAGAUCGUGAGCCGUUAAUGUAUUCUGUGAUUGGCUAGAUCCUGACUGAUUAGAAAAGUGUAUAAAAAAGAAGGCCAAGUCAUGGAAGAAACAACAAUCUUUUAAAAGUUUUUAAAUUUUGGUCAGUUGUUUUAAUUUUAUUAAUUUUUUUCUCUAAUUUUCAGAAUUUAUUUUCCCUAAAUUAGCGACCAAAAGUUAAUAAGUGAAAGAUUGUUGCUAAAAAUCAGUCAAACCGUCAAACCCGUCGCUAAUUUAUUUUGUGAAUUUUUAAAUGUUGAUUUUAAGCUAUCACUGAUUAGUCUAAUCGGUUCAAUUUUUUAUUUAAUAUUUAUUUAUUUGGUAGCUAAUCAAUAUAUUUAGUGGCAAAAUUUUUAAUUAAGUUAAUUAAUUUGCGUAUUUAGUAGCAAAGCCAUGUCAAUUUGAUUUCACAAGAAUUUCUAAAAAUUUACCUGUUGAAAGCCACAAUACAUUAUAACCAUUCUGCAAUUCCCCAGACACAGAGAUAAACAUGAUGAAGGAAGCAUAAAUAAAUUGAAAUCAUAAAAGAACAAGCAAUAUACACAGAGAUAUAAUGUUUAAAAACUCGUAAAAGAAAUGCGAUGGGUAGAGCUACCCAGCUGAUGACAAAUCAUUAAAUUAAAAUAAAAGAAAAAAAAAUAUUUUUUUAGUAGGAAGUGAACUAUUCAAAUGAUUUUUCUGCUGAUUCAAUAGAAAUUGUAACUUGUUCUUGCAUUAUGCACUUCAUUUCCAACAAGUUUGUCUUUGAUCGAAGCGAGCUGUCGUAUGACAUCAGGAAUGCUCAUUCUUUCACUUGGUGAUGCAAUAGAACAAUCGACUCCAAUUUGAAAUAUUGAAAUCAAGCACUCUACUGAUACAUUACUAAUUGCUUCACCUUUUUCUGAAACAAGAACCGGAUCCACCACCUCCACCACAUUAUUAGGCAAAGCAACCUUGACAAAGUUAUGAAGAUUAAAAGAUCCGUUAAAGAUUUCAUCGGUAGGCCUCUUUCCUGUGAACAUUUCCAAUAAGAGAAUUCCAUAACUGUAAACAUCACCGUAUGUGGAUACCUCAUUACCCAUUCCAUAUUCUACAAUUUGUUCAAAAGAAUUAUUGGUUAAGAGAAUAUAAAGUUGAAUAAGACGAUGAUAGAGUUACACUACUAAUUAGAACAUGAUAGUUUUAUGUAAAAUCAAGAUUACCUGGAGGAGCAUACCCAACUGUUCCUCUUGCUCCAGUAGAACUUGAUUCACUAUUGUGAUAGAUUGCUGCGAGAGGAAGGAAUCUAGCUAGCCCGAAAUCACUAACAUGUCCUGUCAGUUCAUUGUCAAGAAGAACAUUGCUCGGUUUUAAAUCACGAUGAACAAUUGGUAUUUCGCAAUUAUUGUGGAGAUAAUCAAGAGCAGAAGCAACAUCAAUCGCAAUAUUUAGUCUUUGAAGAAUGUUCAAUUUCUGUGUUGCCUCACUUUCUUCAUUUGUGCUUACAGUUGGAUGCAACCAGUCAUCCAAGCUUCCAUUAACCAUAAACUCAUAAACCAAAGCCUUAAAAUCAUUUCCAUGGUGUGCUAUACUUGAACAAGCAGUUAGUACUUUAACAAGAUUCCUGUGUCUAAUACCUCUUAAGGCUUCACAUUCAGCAAGAAAACUCUUGAAAGCUCCGCGGCGCAUAAGGUUAAACACCUUGACAGCAAUUAAGGUUGCUCCACCAUCAAGUGUUCCCUUAUAAACAGAACCAAAAUUUCCCAUACCAAUCAAAUUAUCAGAAGAGAAUCCAUUUGUAGAUUUAUGCAGAGUUCGAUAAGAUAAUUCCAAAAUUUUCUUAUCUGAAAAAUUGGAAGCAGCAGGUUCCUUUCUUAUCUUUUGCUUAAGCCUCAGAAGAAACAGAACUGAUAAUACCAAUAAGGCUCCUACAAUCACAGAAAUAAUAGCAACCACUAACUUCAAUGUAGGAGUCAAUCUAUUUUUCUUAUGCCUUAAAGGAUGGCACUUAGGCAAAUGAAACUUAGGUAUGCCUCCACAAAGCAUAUUAUUUCCUUCAACUGAAGUAGCACUUGCAUUCUCAAAAAUGCCUUUAGUAGGCACCAUGCCCUCAAAAUUGUUGUAGGAGAGAUUCAAAUAUUGCAAAAUUCUCCAAUGUGACAGAAAUUCUGGAAUUUCACCUGAUAAAUUAUUUUUAGAUAAAUCCAAAGCUUGAAGAGCCUUUAAUGAACUCAAAGCUGCAGGUAUUGGCCCUUGGAAAUUGUUUCCACUCAAGUCAAGUGUUUCCAUGCUUAUACAACUGCCAAGACUACUAGGAAUCUCACCAGAUAAUUUAUUCUCGGAAACAUCAAAUUCACCAAGGUUUUUCAGGUUUCCAACUUCAAUAGGUAAAUUACCAGUAAAGUUAUUUUGAGAUAAAUCAAGAUAAAUAGACAAUGAAGAGAGAUUUAGGACUUGUGAAGGUAUGGAACCACUUAAUUUGUUUUGAGAAAGAUCUAAUCCAAGCAAGUUUUCACAUUUGCCAAUAUUUGAUGGAAUACUACCUGAAAGGUUGUUUUCAAAAGCAACGAAUUGAAUUAAAUUCGUUAAGUUUCCGAUGGAGGAUGGAAUUUCUCCUGAAAACAUGUUAUUGUUCAAAGCAAAUACAACUAGAUUUCGAAGCUUUCCAAUACCAUCAGGAAUAAAACCUGAAAGUUUGUUAUUCCACACCUCAAAAUCCUGCAGUCUUACAAGAUUGCCUACGUCAGAUGGAAUGUUUCCAAUUAUUUGAUUGUUAUCGAGGAAAAAUCUCACCAAACUAGUUGAAAGAUUGCCAAUGGUUUCAGGUAUCGUUCCUCCAAAGUUAUUGCCAUUAAUAAGCAAUUUUUCUAGCACAGUGGCAUUGAGAAGAGAGAAAAGGAAACUCAAGUCGUCAGAAUCCCCAUUUCCCAGAUAGUUUAAAGUAACAAUAAAAGCACGAAGUUUAUUCAACUUUGCCAGAGAAGGAACUUGUCCAGUAAGCUUGUUUUCUAGCAAAGAAAGUAUCUGCAAAUUAGUGGCAUUAGAAAAAGAAGAAGGGAUUUGUCCAGUGAACUCAUUAGCACCAAUAGAAAAAAAUCAAAUCUUAGGAAGUGAAGAGCCUAAUUCUGAAGGAAGAUUUCCAUGGAGAUGAUUCUCUCCUAUCUCAAAGUCUGUUAUGGAGGAAAGAUUAAAGAUUGAUGAAGGAACGAUACCUGAAAGCCUAUUUGAAUAAAGACUCAAGAACUGAAGAUUGGUUAACUAGCCUAAACAGUAAGGUACAGUUCCUGCCAAGCCAUUGAAAGCUAAGGAGAGUAGCAGAAGCUGUGACAAAUUUCCAAGUGAAUAAGGGAUAGUUCCUGAUAGAUUGUUUUCAAAUAAGUAAAGAACUUGAAGUUUCGAUAACGAACCCAAUUUUUCAGGAAUAUCUCCUUUCAACUUAUUAUUACGUAAACUUAUAACAAUGAGAUUUGAACAACUUGAUAUAUUACUUGGCAUUUUUCCACUCAUCGAAUUGUUAGUCAGUCUGAGUUCUUCCAGUCUUCUUAAGUGACCAAUCUGCUCCGGGAUUUGAUAGAUGAAGCUGUUGUUGUUUAAAUUCAGUAUCUUCAAGAAGGUCAAGUUGCGAAUGUAAGGUGAUAUAGAGCCAUCAAGUGCCAAGGACUGCAGGUUUAAUUCCAUGACUCGCCGGUGUGACCGACCACAGGUUAUGCCUUGCCAUUGACAGAAAUGGAUUGUAUGAUUCCAUGAGCUUAAAACCUGAAAUGGGUCUCUGAGUUAUUUUGGCUUUGAAUUGAAGGAAGGCUUUGAGGUCAGUCGCAUUGCUGGCAGAAGCAAAGGUAGUAGAGGUAAAGAAAAAGAGAAGAACAUAAACAUAGAUGCAAAGAGAUGAGAAAGGGUGUAAUAGGUUGUUGUUCAUGGAGAAAUUGAAGUAAGAACUAUGAAAUAAAAGAUGAAGAUCAUAUGAGAAGAUAAUGGAUGGAAUUGAGGAAUAUUUAUUUGGUGUAUUAAG